AUUGAACGCUGGCGGCAUGCCUUACACAUGCAAGUCGAACGGUAACAGGUCUUCGGAUGCUGACGAGUGGCGAACGGGUGAGUAAUACAUCGGAACGUGCCUAGUAGUGGGGGAUAACUACUCGAAAGAGUGGCUAAUACCGCAUGAGAUCUACGGAUGAAAGCAGGGGAUCGCAAGACCUUGUGCUACUAGAGCGGCCGAUGGCAGAUUAGGUAGUUGGUGGGAUAAAAGCUUACCAAGCCGACGAUCUGUAGCUGGUCUGAGAGGACGAUCAGCCAGACUGGGACUUAGAAACGGCCCAGACUCCUACGGGAGGCAGCAGUGGGGAAUUUUGGACAAUGGGCGCAAGCCUGAUCCAGCAAUGCCGCGUGCAGGAUGAAGGCCUUCGGGUUGUAAACUGCUUUUGUACGGAACGAAAAGCCCCGGGUUAAUACCCUGGGGUCAUGACGGUACCGUAAGAAUAAGCACCGGCUAACUACGUGCCAGCCGCCGCCGUAA
This 498-nucleotide ribosomal RNA is filed under the name uncultured bacterium. RNAcentral describes it as "partial 16S ribosomal RNA". It matches the Rfam family "Bacterial small subunit ribosomal RNA", at positions 30 to 523 of the family's 1533-position model. The record is from RNAcentral.